This 864-nucleotide ribosomal RNA is filed under the name Boeremia linicola. RNAcentral describes it as "partial large subunit ribosomal RNA". It matches the Rfam family "Eukaryotic large subunit ribosomal RNA", at positions 75 to 954 of the family's 3401-position model. Lineage: Eukaryota; Fungi; Ascomycota; Dothideomycetes; Pleosporales; Didymellaceae. The record is from RNAcentral.
UUGCCCUAGUAACGGCGAAGUGAAGCGGCAACAGCUCCAAAUUUGAAAUCUGGCGUCUUUGGCGUUUGAGUUGUAAUUUGCAGAGGGCGCUUUGGCAUUGGCAGCGGUCCAAGUUCCUUGGAACAGGACGUCACAGAGGGUGAGAAUCCCGUACGUGGUCGCUAGCCUUUACCGUGUAAAGCCCCUUCGACGAGUCGAGUUGUUUGGGAAUGCAGCUCUAAAUGGGAGGUAAAUUUCUUCUAAAGCUAAAUACUGGCCAGAGACCGAUAGCGCACAAGUAGAGUGAUCGAAAGAUGAAAAGCACUUUGGAAAGAGAGUUAAAAAGCACGUGAAAUUGUUGAAAGGGAAGCGCUUGCAGCCAGACUUGCCUGUAGUUGCUCAUCCGGGUUUUUACCCGGUGCACUCUUCUAUAGGCAGGCCAGCAUCAGUUUGGGCGGUUGGAUAAAGGUCUCUGUCACGUACCUCCUCUCGGGGAGAACUUAUAGGGGAGACGUAAUGCAACCAGCCUGGACUGAGGUCCGCGCAUCUGCUAGGAUGCUGGCGUAAUGGCUGUAAGCGGCCCGUCUUGAAACACGGACCAAGGAGUCUAACAUCUAUGCGAGUGUUUGGGUGUCAAGCCCGAGCGCGUAAUGAAAGUGAACGGAGGUGGGAACCUUUCGGGGUGCACCAUCGACCGAUCCUGAUGUCUUCGGAUGGAUUUGAGUAAGAGCAUAGCUGUUGGGACCCGAAAGAUGGUGAACUAUGCUUGAAUAGGGUGAAGCCAGAGGAAACUCUGGUGGAGGCUCGCAGCGGUUCUGACGUGCAAAUCGAUCGUCAAAUUUGGGGCAUAGGGGCGAAAGACUAAUCGAACUAUCUAGUAGCUGG